RNAcentral lists this ribosomal RNA (121 nucleotides) under Oncorhynchus mykiss (rainbow trout). The record is from RNAcentral. Lineage: Eukaryota; Metazoa; Chordata; Actinopteri; Salmoniformes; Salmonidae.
GCUUACGGCCACCCGGCCUGAGUACGCCUGAUCUCGUCUGAUCUCGGAAGCUAAGCAGGGGUUCGGGCCUGGUUAGUACUUGGAUGGGAGACCGCCUAGGAAAUACCAGGUGCUGUAAGCU